This 460-nucleotide ribosomal RNA is filed under the name uncultured bacterium. RNAcentral's name for it is "partial 16S ribosomal RNA". It matches the Rfam family "Bacterial small subunit ribosomal RNA", at positions 338 to 795 of the family's 1533-position model. The record is from RNAcentral.
CCUACGUGAGGCAGCAGUGAGGAAUAUUGGUCAAUGGGCGCGAGCCUGAACCAGCCAAGUCGCGUGAGGGAGGACGGCCCUACGGGUUGUAAACCUCUUUUGCCUGGGAGCAACGGGCGUCACGUGUGGCGCCACUGAGAGUACCCGGAGAAAACGCAUCGGCUAACUCCGUGCCAGCAGCCGCGGUAAUACGGAGGAGGCGAGCGUUAUCCGGAUUUAUUGGGUUUAAGGAGUGCGUAGGCGGAUCGUUAAGUCAGUGGUGAAAUUGAGGGGCUCAACCCCUUCCCGCCAUUGAAACUGGCGCUCUUGAGUGGAAGAGAAGUAUGCGGAAUGCGUGGUGUAGCGGUGAAAUGCAUAGAUAUCACGCAGAACCCCGAUUGCGAAGGCAGCAUGCCGGCUUCCGACUGACGCUGAAGCACGAAAGCGUGGGGAUCGAACAGGAUUAGAUACCCUUGUAGUC